AUUAAUAAUAUUUAUAAGACUUUGCUAUUUUUCAUCUUCUUUUAAAUUAUCUCCGACUAAGAGAGCUAUACUUCCUCUUCAACCUAAACCCUAACAUCUCUCUCUGUGAAGUGUAACCUCUUCAGCUCAAACCUUGGUUGGUUCAAGAAAGAAAACGAUUCUACAGCUAUACAUUAUACCUUUUCUUUCUGACAAUACUGCUGUCAUUGGAGCUAAAAAACCCAACACUGUGGAAGUUUUUUACUAAUGGAAAUGUUUUAAAAAUUAAAGCUUUUCAACUACCCAACUGGCAUGAGGGAAUUCUUCAACUUAAGACCCCUAAUUUUAUGAGAAUUAACAUAUAUUUUUGCUUUCUUUUUUUUGAAAUUGGCUAAUCAAGUGAAAGUGAGACAGAGUUGGAAUUAAAUUUGUGAUUUGUAGUUCUUUCUUUUGUAUUGUAUCGUAAUGUUGACAAAAUAACCAUUUUCAAAUUACAUGUUUGAGCUAUAAACUUAGUAUAAAAGUAGUUUCAUUAUUGUGUAAUUUUCUUUUCAUUAUUUUUUUUUAAUACAGUUCAGUCCACUUUGAUUGGUUAUGAACUCAUGGCUGAACAGAGUAGUAUAAACAACUGUGGUCUUCCGAAGAAAAAGAGAAUCAAAUUUAAGAGAACAUCGAUUGCUAAAGCUGAGGACAGAUUAUCUAAGCUACCUAAUAUAAUUCUUGUACAUAUUCUGUCAUUUCUCCUAACUACAAACGAUGUGGUUCGGACUUGUAUCCUUUCAAAGCAUUGGAAAUUGAUUUGGUAUUCACUUCCUAAACUCUCUUUCUGUGAUACUACUAAUACUGUUCUCGAAUUUCAAAAGUUCGAAAAUUAUGUUGACAAUUGUUUGGAACACCACAAGAAAGGUAUGUAUUUUAUUGCUGAUUCAGCUCUAAUUAGUUUCAAGCUUCAGAUAAAAAGCUUUCUAUGAAGCAAGGCUUGCAGUCUAGAUAAAUGGUUAAGCUUUGCAGUUAACAAUAAAAUCAAGGAACUGAGUCUUGACUUAGAACCAAGAAAUGGUAAGAGUGAGAAUGAUGGUUAUUACUGUUUUUACUACUACUGCUUACCUAAAACAGUAUUCAACUUAAGAGGUUUGACCAUUUUGGAGUUGUGUGGAAUUGAGUUGGGUUACUCAUUUGGUUUUCCAUCCUUGAAAUCAUUAUCAUUGGAACAUUUUCGGCUUUCAAAAAAUGUAACUGCUGAUGUGCUAACCAAGUCUUUCAUGGAUUGCCCUUCCCUUGAGAAAUUGUUGUUAAGUUUGUGUUUUACUCGUAAUCCGCUCCGAGUACAAAGUUCAAGCCUCAAGUUCAUGACACUUAAGUUUCCUAGUGUAUCUCAUCGAGUUGAAGCCAUAAAUGUUGAAUCUUUGGUGCUAUGUUGGGCUUUAUUUGGGAAAAUAAAUCUGUCUGCAUGUAAGGCAAUCAAAAAUCUCUCACUAGUUAAUUGUGAAUGGGAUAUGACAAGCCAGUCAUCAUUCGAAGAUCUCAUUACAAACCUCCCACUCCUUGAGGAUUUGACAAUUGAUAAUUCUUAUCAUAAGUCAGGAUUGGAGCAUCUUACAAUCUCAAAUCAACACUUGAAAAGCCUCAAAUUGAGAAAUAUGAACAAGGAGAGUGAUAUAAUCAAGGUUGUCACAAUUAAAUCAGUGCCAAACUUAGUUUCGUUUUGUUAUGAAGGUAAUAUUAAUUGCAGCAUAUCAAUAAAGACAUCCAAUUUUUUGAAUGGAAAAUUUGUCAUUGAUGAUCAUCAUCGCAAAUAUGACACAAAUUGGUUUAUGACUAUGAUGAUUUUUUUUUCUGAAUCUCAAUUGCUCGUGGAAUAUUGUAACACUGCAACUUUCUUCUGAUAAGGCGCUCAUCGUGCCAGACAAUUGUAAAAGGCUAUGUCGUUCUCCUUUACUCAAAUGGAAGCAUGUCAGAGUUCUUUUUGGUUCUUGCACAGGGAGAUUUUCAAGCGUGUUCAUGCGUAACUUAGCGAGAGAGUUACGAUUGAAAGAUGUGGUUAUGUGAAUUUCACCAUCCAUGGAAACAUUAUCUUUCAAUGGAGAAGACAUAUUCUAGCUAUCCUAUAUCAUAGCUGAUGUUCAAAUAUUAGUCAUUUUGAACUUGUAUAUAUUAUAUUAGUAUCUUAUUAGUUAUUACUAAUGAAGUUGACUAAUUUCAUGUUGCCUAGUUGGUUUGUUUUGAGGACUUAAAAGAAAGGGUGGUAGAAGUUUAAGUAUUAUACCCUUUGUUCUAAUGUAUUUUGGUGGCUCUCUUUGUUUUAAAUGAAAAUCCAAGUUAAUCGAGUUGACCCUUUUUUUUUUGUUUUUAACAAUAUAUCAUAAAUUUAUCUCCAUAUGUUGAAAUCUUAGAACAUUUUUUUUUUCCUUCUUUCAACAUUUACAAGUCUUAUCUUGCUUGAAAAUUGUUGAGGUUUAUAAUAUGGGGUUCUUGGUGAUGCAUUAUUUUUGUUUCUACCUUGUAUAGAGACAUUUUAUUAGUAUACUUCACAUUAAUUAGAAUACAAAAUAGUGGAUACUCAAAUAGAUAGAAACUCAAAUAGAUUGAACAGUUCUUCUAGAGUAGAGAAGAAAGUUUGAGGAAGAGUUUUAACCAAAUUUUUGGAUGAAAGGGUGAUAUUAUACGGUGUACUCCAAUGGGGAAUAUAUGUGUUUAUUUCAUUAGAUGAAAGAAAUCAAUUUCAUUAAAUCUCUGCCAACAAAAUGGCAUUCAACUCAAUAGGGACAACACCCCAUUGAUAAUACAAUCAGGACUAGAACAUGAAGAGCGAGCUAAUUAAUGAGCCACCUCGUUCCAAAUCAUUUAACUAAAGAAUAGCAACAUUCUAUAAAUUCUGAAGCAAACAUUUAUAAUCUGAAAAUAGUAAAGCAGCAGGAGAAAGUAAAUCAACAGAAGUAACCAUUGCUUGCACCAGCUGAAGUAGCUGGAAGUUGGUUCGAAGAGCCUGCAAUAUUAACCUUCCUUUUGAUCCAACUUAGGACUUCUUUCAAUCCAAUCGCUUCUUCAUUAAUAGUGAAAAAUAUACAUUUAAUAAGUUUAAAGUUUAAUAUAAAUUAAAAAUAAAUUAAUAUUUUUAUGAAAUUAAUAAGAUAUAUUUUUAUGUUGAAAUAUUUGAUUUAAUUUUAAUUUAUUAUUUUUUUUUGGAUAAUUUACAUGUAGGCACGUUUUUUUGUAUUUAAUAUUAAUAUUAACGUGAAUUUUCAAAAUAUUAAUAUUACCGUAUUUUUCUUACCGUUUUUUAUUCUUAUUAUUGAUUGUGUGUUGGGUACAAUAAAUUGCUUUUGAUGAUGUCAUAUUGACUCUCACAUCAUGAUAUGGGACAGAUUGAACACGUGAUGGAAAGUUUCAUAAUUUUGAAUACUGAUUUCCUUUUUUGUAGUUUGUUGGGACCUCAAAUAGAAUAGGGUAAAUUUAAUAGUUUAUAAUUUGUACAUUUAAUAGUUUUCUUCCACUUUUUUAGGAGUUUAUUGCAAUUUGAUAAAAUGUAAUAUUGAUACGAUAUAAUUUAGGGUUUAUUUUUUAUUUUUUAGGAUUUUAGUGAUGUAUGUUUGAAUGUGUUUUUGAUAAUGUAUACUUUAGGUUUUUUUUUUUUUUUUUGGCAUAUUAUAGGGUUUUAUAUUGUAUACUAUAAUUUUUUGCAUCUAAUUUAUUUUAUUGAUCAUAUAUUUGAUAAUUAAUAUAUUUUCUCUGCCACAAAUAUACAUGUCAAUUUAUAUAAUGUAAUUUUUGUAAAAACUUUUGUAUAUAUUUUUUUUAUUUAUUUUUGAGAAUUUUAUUUGAGCGGAUGUUAUUUUGGUACAAUAUACUUUAGGGUUUUUUAUUUUUUAUUUUUAAAAAAUGUGUUUGUACAUUAUAUAGGACCGUUAUGAAGGUGCAUUUUUCAUAUGAUUAUGAUAUAGUUUCAUUUUUAAGUUUGUUUUUGAAAAAAAAUUUACUGAGUAUAUUUUUGUAUCUAUAUUUAUUUUGGAAUUUUUAUGUGAUUUUGAUUUUGUAUGCUUAAUGGUUUUUUUUUCUUUAUUUUUUUUUAGAAUUUUAUUGAUUUCUGUUUGAAUGUUUUUGAUAUUGUUUACCUUAGGGUUUAUUUAUUUUUAUUAUUAUUUUGUAUGUUGUAACGUUAUAUAGUGUAUAUUAUAUUUUUUUUUUUUUGUAUUUGAUUAAAUUUAUUGAUCAAAUAUUUUAUGAUUAAAAUAAUCUUAAAAGUUAUUAUAACUUAUUAGUUUAUUUACAAAUUUUAUUUGUUUAUUAGCAAUGCGAGCUUCUUUUUUUUUAGUUUAUAGUAACUUAUUGUAAAUUGCAAAAGAAAAAUAAAAAAGUAACGUAAAAAUGUGUAAAACAACAAAAUAAUGUAAUAUAAUCUAAAAAUAAAUACAUAGGCUUCAAAGUAAAAAAAAUAUAUAAAAUAAUUGGUUUAUAAAAAUGGUAGCUUAUUAUAUUACACGACAACUCAUUAAUUUCAAAAAUAAACUUUUAAAGUUACCCAAAUAUAUUUUAAAUAAUAUACCAUAAUAUAACUUAAAAACAAUUAUUUGACUAUUAAGAUGUUUACAAAUAAGUUAUGAUGGUAACCAAAUUGUAUAUCAAAUUAUAUGAUAUAAAAAAAAAUAUGUAAAAAAUAACUAAUUAUUUUUUUAUCAGCAUUAUAAGUAACCAAAAUGUUACUUUUGAAAAUGUAGAUUUAAAAAAAACGGAACUAGGGAUGAAAAAUCUGAUUAUAUUGUAGAUGUACUUUAAUUGAUUGAUGUUAUUUAUAGUAUAUUGUUAGAAAAGAUAACAUGAAAAAAUGAAAUAGUAAUAGCAACAUUAUAUUUUUUUUUACGCAAAAGUAACUAAUUGGCUUCUUAUCAGGAUCAUUAAGUAACCAAAAAGUUACUUUAGAAAUGCAGAAAAACUAAAAAAAAAAAAUACAGAACAGAACAGAGCAAGUUUUGGAUCAAUUUUUAAAGUGUCGAUUUAGUUGUUCCUUUAUCUAGCAAUGAUUCUGCCUCUAUCGUUUAGGUAUUUUUGGUAGUUUGAAGAACGAUUUUGGUGUUGAACUCAUAAUCGAUCUUCUGGCGAUUGUAACCGAAGUUUUUUUGUUCAUUAAUGGAGUUUUUGUUGGGUGAGAAUAAUUUUAAAUUGUGACUUUGAUCUUAUAUAUAUAUAUAUACCUAUAUAUAACAUAGUGAAACGAUUUUGCAGAUUUGUCAGUAGUUUGAGAAACGAUUUUGAUUAUGAAUGAUUAUUUGAUAUUGUGUUGUUUGAGAUGAAGCUUUUUUGUUCGUUAAUGGAAGUUUUUUUUUUUUGAAGAAUAAUUCAAGUUCUAAUUUUGAUAUUUUAUAAUCGAAGGGAAGUAAAUUUAAAGGUUCAUUUUUGAUAUUUGUGUUCGACGCAUUGUUCAAAGGACUUAUUAAUCCCGUAAUUGGAGGAGGAAUAUGGUGUAUUUCAUGUAUUGAGAUCAAUAGUGGUAUGAGAUUAUUUUGGUUUUACGGUAAAAAUGCUGAUGUGUCACGUUAAUACAAGAACAUUAAAUUAAUUGAUGUCAAUUAUGUUAUUAAAAUGUAUAUUACGUAUACUAAUAAAAAUUUUCC
Cannabis sativa is the source of this 5588-nucleotide long non-coding RNA. RefSeq lists it as uncharacterized. Lineage: Eukaryota; Viridiplantae; Streptophyta; Magnoliopsida; Rosales; Cannabaceae. The record is from RefSeq and is a predicted model, not a curated record. The transcript has 2 exons.